GUCUGAAUGUGCUUGGGCAUCACCUCAACUUUCAGUAACAGCCUCCAGCACUAAGCAUAACUUAACAGAUUCAGUGAUUAUCUGCGCUCUGAAGAGAAAAGCACAAGCUUGCUGUUCUGGGUGUUUCUUCCUCCAGCGUUCAGACUCCUCCGAAGUCGGUGCUACCAAGCUAUCACGGCUGCCUGAAGAGAUACCCGGCUUGCUUUCAUGCGAGCAUAAUAUCAGCUACUUCAUGAGGAUUUCUAAAGAAGAGUCUCAGGCUGGCUUGUUUCAAUAAGCACACUUCACACUUUCUUUUUGAAAAAGCCUUGCAAAUACUGGACAUUUGAAGAUGACGCCAAGUGAGGACCAAGUGAGGACCAAGUGAGGACCAGUUGAUAGAGGGACACUUGUCUGGGACAGGGCUGGGAGCAGUUGUGGAGAAGAUUUUAAGGAAAAAAAGGACAGCCACGCAGGGGAGCCAGGGCCCAGCAAGGUUGUGUCACCUCCGUCCCUGAAAGGUUUUCAAGCCCUGGUGGGAAAAAG
Molecule: long non-coding RNA, 525 nt
Filed under: Apteryx rowi (Okarito brown kiwi)
Lineage: Eukaryota; Metazoa; Chordata; Aves; Apterygiformes; Apterygidae
Description: lncRNA (ENSARWG00000009166.1)
Source: RNAcentral